RNAcentral lists this ribosomal RNA (394 nucleotides) under uncultured bacterium. RNAcentral describes it as "partial 16S ribosomal RNA". It matches the Rfam family "Bacterial small subunit ribosomal RNA", at positions 523 to 918 of the family's 1533-position model. The record is from RNAcentral.
AUACGUAGGGAGCGAGCGUUGUCCGGAAUUACUGGGCGUAAAGGGCGCGUAGGCGGCGCUUCAAGUCGUCUGUCAAAUGGAAGGGCUUAACCCUUUUUCGCAGACGAAACUGGAGAGCUUGAGAAGCAGAGAGGCAAACAGAAUUCCUGGUGUAGCGGUGAAAUGCGUAGAUAUCAGGAAGAAUACCAGUGGCGAAGGCGGUUUGCUGGCUGCAUACUGACGCUGAAGCGCGAAAGCCAGGGGAGCGAACGGGAUUAGAUACCCCGGUAGUCCUGACAGUAAACGAUGUAUGCUGGGUGUGAGACUAGCGAUAGUUUCGUGCCGAAGUUAACGCGAUAAGGAUACCGCCUGGGGAGUACGGUCGCAAGAUUGAAACUCAAAGGAAUUGACGGGG